Molecule: long non-coding RNA, 1008 nt
Organism: Phragmites australis (common reed)
Lineage: Eukaryota; Viridiplantae; Streptophyta; Magnoliopsida; Poales; Poaceae
Exons: 3
Source: RefSeq, a predicted model, not a curated record
UGUGGUUUUUUCAAUUGGAUCCGCAGCAACAUGAUCUUAAGCUGAAAGCUGUUCUUAGCCGUGCUAGUUAGGGAUACUUUGGCGAGCUUGUCCCGAUCGAAGCCACAUCUACUUGGAGGCAAUAUGUAGAUAUAUCAUGUGAACAUGGGCUGCCUCUGAUUUUGUUAGCUGAGGCGUACCAGAAGGAUUAAACAGAGAUAAACUCUGCGGAGGCAGUAACGGGACCAAGUGAGGCAGUGGCAGAUGAAUUAGACCCGGUAAGUGUCGGGGUUAGGGCAGAUGUUGGGGAUAUUCCUGAGAUGCAACCGAUGGGUGUUGCCGAUGAGGGGGAGCAUAUCCCUAGCAUAAUUGAAGAGAUAGAGUUGGAGGAUCAAGAGCUGGAGGAAGCCGUUGCCGAUGAGGAUUCAUCUGACGAGGAGGGUAAUGCUCCAGUUCCUGCAGAGUGGAGGGAUCAGAAAUUUUCAAAGCUGGUAGUUAGUGAGGCUGAUCGGGCACCGUGGGAGUAUCAUGAGAACGAGCCCAGUGCCGACACCCUCACCACUCACAGGCUACUCAGAUUAUUUCGGUGAUGAGGCCGGGCCAUCUUCAGCUGCAUCGCGACCGAUCCCACCACCACCGUUCGACCCCUACUACGGCACGCACGCUUGACCAUAUGCUACUGCACCGGCAUACCACAUAGGCCCCUCCAGCCAGUACACAUGGACGCCCGCGGAUCCUUCUCAGUCUUCAUACUCGAGUCAGGAGGAUGAGCCUGAGCCAGACCCCCCGUUCAACCUCGUGCGGGAUUUCUUCGGGGGCACACCAGACUACGACAUCCUCCAGCAGUCCCAGGUACCCAGUGCUCCACUUCGGACACAACACACCCAGGAGGAGGCCUCGACACCGGUGUUCCCUACUAGGCCUACCAGACAGGUCGGUCCACCCGACCCCCCUGACCUACUCUAGGGGCCACGUGAGGGCCAACCAGCGGCAGCAGUAGCGGACCAUGAUGGGGGAACGGCCGAUGGU